ACAACAUUCGGACCGUCGGUCUACCGAGCAAUAUCACCCGCUCGGUGGAAGAUCUUCCCUUUGCAGU
This 67-nucleotide microRNA precursor is filed under the name Bombyx mori (domestic silkworm). Its description in RNAcentral is "mir-2774 microRNA precursor family". It matches the Rfam family "mir-2774 microRNA precursor family". Lineage: Eukaryota; Metazoa; Arthropoda; Insecta; Lepidoptera; Bombycidae. The record is from Rfam by way of RNAcentral.